RNAcentral lists this ribosomal RNA (253 nucleotides) under uncultured bacterium. RNAcentral describes it as "partial 16S ribosomal RNA". It matches the Rfam family "Bacterial small subunit ribosomal RNA", at positions 524 to 776 of the family's 1533-position model. The record is from RNAcentral.
UACGGGGGGGGCAAGCGUUGUUCGGAAUUACUGGGCGUAAAGGGCUCGUAGGUGGCCAACUAAGUCCGACGUGAAAUCCCUCGGCUUAACCGGGGAACUGCGUCUGAUACUGGAUGGCUGGAGAUUGGGAGAGGGAUGCGGAAUUCCAGGUGUAGCGGUGAAAUGCGUAGAUAUCUGGAGGAACACCGGUGGCGAAGGCGGCAUCCUGGACCAACACUGACGCUGAGGAGCGAAAGCCAGGGGAGCAAACGGG